CUAACAAUCGUCGUUGUUAAAACCACGCGCAAAGUUUAAUGAUAAUUAUUAACUAAUUAUCGAUUCAAAACGAAAUUGUAUUGUUUAUGUGGUAAAAUGAAAUUGGUUUAAUUACUUAAUGGUUUAAUCUGAUCAAAAAGCUAACGUUGUAAGUUGUUGGAAGCUCGUCAGAUGUAAUCUCACAUAUCAUAUGAUGGAGUGAUUGUCAAAUGUGGCGGCAUUAUUUGAUAGGUGUAAUGCCAUAGGUAAUUGCAUCUGAGGAAUUUCCAACCAGUCGGAACGUUAAUUGGAGCCACAUAAUGGCUCCAAACACUUUCCAAACAGUUAUUCUG
Long non-coding RNA from Onthophagus taurus, 332 nucleotides. RefSeq lists it as uncharacterized. Lineage: Eukaryota; Metazoa; Arthropoda; Insecta; Coleoptera; Scarabaeidae. The record is from RefSeq and is a predicted model, not a curated record.